GUGGGGAAUAUUGGGCAAUGGGGGCAACCCUGACCCAGCGACGCCGCGUGGGUGAAGAAAUCCCUCGGGAUGUAAAGCCCUGUUGUAUGGGAAGAGCAGAAGACGGUACCAUACGAGGAAGCCCCGGCAAACUACGUGCCAGCAGCCGCGGUAAUACGUAGGGGGCAAGCGUUGUCCGGAAUUACUGGGCGUAAAGCGCACGCAGGCUGAAUUAUAAGUCGGUAGUCAAAUACGGAGGCUCAACUUCCGGAUAUCUAUCGAUACUGUAAAUCUAGAGUAUGUGAGAGGGAAGCGGAAUGCCCGGUGUAGCGGUGAAAUGCGUAGAUAUCGGGAGGAACACCAGUGGCGAAGGCGGCUUCCUGGCACAAUACUGACGCUCAUGUGCGAAAGCUAGGGCAGCGAACGGGAUUAGAAACCCUGGUAGUCC
RNAcentral lists this ribosomal RNA (427 nucleotides) under uncultured bacterium. RNAcentral describes it as "partial 16S ribosomal RNA". It matches the Rfam family "Bacterial small subunit ribosomal RNA", at positions 354 to 796 of the family's 1533-position model. The record is from RNAcentral.